AUUUUCCUUGAUGUUUUGAAAUGAUAACGGUGACAAAAAUGGCGGUGUAGCAGAAGAUAAAAGCAGACGACACGUCAACCGGGCAGCGGGUUAGGUUAGCUCUCAAACUUAUUAUACAAUGUGUAGCACUCACAUUCAAAUAAGGAUUCAAAAGUAUAGUAAAAGGAUUUUAUAAAUUAUAAAAAUUAAUAACAAUGCUUCAAGAAAAUAUAGAAUCUUUUAAUGAAUAUCAUACCAGAAAUAUUUUUCUGACUUCUAUGAUUUCUGGAGCAUUUGCAGGAACGAUAUGCGACUUAGUAUUUUUUCCAGUAGAUACUUUAAAAACUAGAUUACAAAGUCCUCAUGGCUUUAUGAAAUCAGGGGGAUUUACACGUCUUUAUCAGGGCAUUGUACCUGUUAUGAUAGGAACUGCACCAUCAUCUUCAAUUUUCUUUAUAACUUAUGAAAGCAUGAAAGAAUUUAUACAACCAAAUGUUCCCUAUAAGUAUCACUGGAUGGUGCAUAUGGGAGCUGCAACCACAGGUGAAAUGGGUGCCUGUUUAAUUAGAGUACCUGUUGAAGUAAUUAAGCAAAGAAAACAAGCUUUAUUGGGUGAUAAAAUAAGUUCCUUAGGUUUGAAAACUCUUUAUCGAGGAUAUGGUACAACAGUUCUUCGUGAUGUGCCAUUUGUUUUUACACAAAUGCCUUUAUGGGAGUAUUUUAAGCUACGCUAUAAGCAAUAUAUGAAACGAGAAUGCACGCCUUUCGAAGGUGCUAUUUGUGGAGCAGUCUCCGUCGCUAUUUCUUCGACGAUUACAACACCUUUAGACGUCGCAAAAACGAGAAUUAUGUUGGCUAGCACAAAUGCCGAUAAAGCCGAAGUCAAAAUUGCAAACAUGUUUCGACAAAUUUAUCGAGAAAAUGGAGUUAGAGGUUUGUUUGCGGGAUUUGUUCCGAGAGUAUGUGGUUACACUGUUGGAGCUAUUUUGUUUUUUGGAAUGUAUGAACAAGUUAAACAAAGCUGUCAAACAGUAUUUCCAUACACCACAUCGUCUCAAUGAAAAUUUUAUAUAUAGUAUUGAAAAUAAAUGAGGAAUUUAAGAACGAUUGUAAAUAUUUGUCAUAAUCGCUUAAUUUUCUUCUUCUAGUGAAUGAAAUUUGCAUUUUUAUAAAAAAAAAAAUCGGACUACAAAACUAAAAAAUUUAUAUUUAAGAUUGUAUGUUCCAAAUAUAUUUGUUAUAAAUUCCUCUACGGGUGAUUUUGUGGUUCCAUCAAUUUUUAAGGAAAUUCAGACUGUGAUUUGUAUAAAACAUUCAUAUUUUCUACGAUCGAUGAAUCUCGAUAUUUAUUAUUAUUUAUAUCCAUAUG
Molecule: RNA transcript, 1348 nt
Organism: Leptopilina boulardi
Lineage: Eukaryota; Metazoa; Arthropoda; Insecta; Hymenoptera; Figitidae
Gene name: S-adenosylmethionine mitochondrial carrier protein homolog
Exons: 8
Source: RefSeq, a predicted model, not a curated record